RNAcentral lists this ribosomal RNA (460 nucleotides) under uncultured organism. RNAcentral's name for it is "bacterial SSU rRNA". It matches the Rfam family "Bacterial small subunit ribosomal RNA", at positions 28 to 507 of the family's 1533-position model. The record is from RNAcentral.
GAUGAACGCUGGCGGCGUGCUUAACACAUGCAAGUCGAACGUGAUCCAUUAGCAAUAGUGGUGAAAGUGGCGAACGGGUGAGUAACACGUAGGUAACCUGCCCUGAAGUGGGGGAUAACGACUGGAAACGGUCGCUAAUACCGCAUGAGUCCAUCGAAGCGGGAGUGAGAUGGAGAAAACUGAGGUGCUUCAGGAGGGGUCUGCGUCCGAUUAGCUAGUUGGUGGGGUAAAGGCUCACCAAGGCGACGAUCGGUAGCUGGUCUGAGAGGACGAUCAGCCACACGGGAACUGAGACACGGUCCCGACUCCUACGGGGGGCAGCAGUGAGGAAUAUUGGGCAAUGGGCGGAAGCCUGACCCAGCAACGCCGCGUGAAGGAUGAAGGCCUUCGGGUUGUAAACUUCUUUUAUGGGGGAAGAGAGAGGACGGUACCCCAGGAAUAAGUCACGGCUAACUACGUG